AAGGGUGGGGGUGUUCACCCAUUAAAGAGGAUCGCGAGCUGGGUUCAGAACGGCGCGAGCCAGUUUGGUUGCUAUCUGCUUGGAGUGUUAGUGUCUGAGAGGAAGGUUCCAAUAGUACGAAAGGAACAUGGAGCCGUGGCCUCUGGUUUAUCAGUUGUCCAACAGGGCAUGCUGAGUAGCUACGCCAUAGAAGAUAAAAGCUGAUAGCGUCUAAGCUUGAAGUUUCCCUCAAAAAGAGACACUGGACCCUUAUAGAAGAUGAGGUUGAUAGAACAGGGAUGUAAGUGCGGUAACGCAUUAAGUCCACUGUCACUAAUAGUCC
This 322-nucleotide ribosomal RNA is filed under the name archaeon. RNAcentral describes it as "partial 23S ribosomal RNA". It matches the Rfam family "Archaeal large subunit ribosomal RNA", at positions 2636 to 2973 of the family's 2987-position model. The record is from RNAcentral.